UGUGUCCUCCCCAAAUUCACAUGUUGAAAUCCUAACCCCCGAUGUGACAGUAUUAGAAGGUGGGAAGGCAUUAGGUCAGGGACGUGGAGCCCUCCUGAAUGGGAUGAGUGCCCUUAUAAAGGAGAGGCCAGGGAGUUCUCACACCUCUUCCACCACGUGACAGCACAGUGAAAAGAUGGCCGACGGCCAUGAACCAGACACCAAAUCUGCUGGCACCCGGAUGUGGACUACCUGCCUCCAGAACCGUUUCAGAAAGAUCUACCUGAUCACCAUAGGCUGGAGAACGUCGGAAUACAGUAAAUGAAGAUGAAAAGUGCUCCGGGACACAACUUUCACUGGCUUGGCCUCUUCAUAAAGCAUGAAACAACAAAGUGGUUUCUCUCACUAUCUGUCGCCAUUUUCAACGACAUUCUUGGUUUUUGGACUCCUUACCUGCUGGGACCACUGAGGACCCCUGUCACCUAGUCUCGGUCCCAGUGCCCUCCUAGCAUCCAAACCUCUCAUCUGACUUAACUCGAAGCUACUGUGGGAUUAUUCCCCAUUGGAAUGAUUAGCAGGAAUAAUAUUAUUAAUGUUUGCCCCCACUUCCUCUGUUUCCUAGAAAUAAUGGCUAAUGUGUAUUAAGUGCUUAUUGUAUGCCAGGUA
Molecule: long non-coding RNA, 645 nt
Organism: Mustela lutreola (European mink)
Lineage: Eukaryota; Metazoa; Chordata; Mammalia; Carnivora; Mustelidae
Exons: 3
Source: RefSeq, a predicted model, not a curated record